UUCAACUCGCCGGCAACAAAAACCCAGAAAUGUCGAGUCUUUCGAAGAAAAGGCAUAAACUUUACAGUUGUUUCAGCCGUAGAGCAUCGGCUUUUCUCUAAAUUGGCCGUAUCUUGACUUGGAUUCUCAAAAGCACCUGCUUUAGAUUUGAGUAUGUUUACUUUGUUUUGCCUCGUUAGCCUAGAUUUCAUAGUUUUAUUGGUUCAGUGCUUGAAGUUGUUUUGAUAGUAGAUUAAUGGAAAAGUUUUGUCCUUUCUUGAAUCUAUAUGAGAAACAAUACUUCUGUAUCUAGUGAAGCGUUGGAGUUUGAUGGUGGUCACAUUUAGAAAUCACUCUGCGAUAUUGGUUAUAUAUGGUGAUGUUGGCGCAAUGUAGAGCUUAAAGUUCGCUCCUUUAUAAUGAUAUGACUGCUUCUUAAUGUAAUACAGUUUUCUUAUUAGUGUUUAUCUUUCGCUUCUUAAUCUCAGAUUAGGCAAUAAUUUCUCUACAAUCUCUAGGAGAAGAGCAUAUAAAGGUGUGGAGAACAUUGACAUAUGAUUGGUUUACAGUAAUCCUGCAGAGUCUGAAUCUCUUCCACAUCCACUGCUGUCACACAGUUACUUGCAACCUCCAGCUGCGCUUUCACCUUGUACCAAGUCCAUGCGCCGUGGCACACGCCAUGGACGAGCACAAACUGUUUCUGGUUCUUCUUCUCAAUUGCCUUUCUUACUCUCAACAUCUUGGUUCAACACUUGCAUACAUACGGUAAGUUUCCCAAAUACUCUUUGUAUAUUGGCUGUUAGUUUUUGGUCGUUCUCUGAGAUCUAGAGAAUGCUAAAACAACACUACAUUGAUUGUUAGAUUUCUCAUUUCAGCUAUAGUAUGAAAUAAAGUCUGAACGUUUAGAAAGAUCCAUUUUAGAACAUGUUCAAUUGUAUUAAAUCCAGAUACAUUUUUUGUUGGUGGACCUGAAGACUCCAUCUGAGGUCAUUUGUUGGCGUGUUAGAGUUCGUGGUGAUUGUUUCAGUGACCUUCACAGGUUAGAAGUGGUCAUAGUAUAGGCAGGAAUAAGUUAUUGAAACGAGAGAUUAUAAAAGAUUAGUUGAUCAGCUUAGUUAGUUUGGGUGAAAAACUGCUUAGAUUUCUCAAUAUAAGAACUCUUAUUAAUCCAGUGAGGAUCCUAGAUUUAUUUAGGCAAUAUUUACCUGCUAUCUUUAAACGAGAUGAUGACUAGAAUUCUUGAGGCUUUGAUACAUUGGAUCUGUAUCUUUGAUCCCCCAUUACUUCUUCAACCUCCUUAAUAUUCUUGUUCAUAAUCCUUCUAUGUUUAAAAUCCCUGGGCACACAUUAUCAUAUUUGCAUACGCGACCAGUCUCCACAGUCCACCCUUUCUCCUUGAAGCUUCAAGUUGUAACUUCACACACCCUAGCAGAAUCCUCGGCAAGCACAUACCACUCAUGGUUAUUUGCCUUCUCUUUUUAGCCUCUUUGUUCAUCUAUUCUUUUAACUAGUUUCUCUGGUAAUAGAAGAUAUAGAGAAUGGUUCACUAAUAUUUUACUGACCAUUUGUUUUUACUUAGUAUUGACUAUAAGAUCUAGCUAUGAUUAUAUGAACCCAUGAAACCUUCUUAAACAAAAUCAUAUUCGCACUGCUAAACAUUCUUCUAGUAUGCAUUUUCAGCUUGUCUACAUAUAGCAGAUCACGACUAACUUUUUUUUAAUUUUUUCAUAGAAGCUGAAGUUCAUAGUAAUAUACUUAUAAAUGCAGGUUUAUAGGCAUAUGAUCUACAUUAAUACGAUGCUGGAAAUUUUCAGGUAGUGUGUUAUCCUCUUCUUACAUUCUUAUUUAUAUAACCAUUCUUACAAAUAAUAUUAUUUGGUUAUGUCUUAUACAUAUAGAGUGUACUCACCCAUAUCACUCUCAUCUCGCUUAGUGUAGUCGUGAAGUUGAAUUUUGUAACUGUGAUGCAGUGAAGAUCUCAGAUUCAUUUAGGCAUAUUUAUCUGCAAUCUCCAAAAGACGAGUACAGAGUUCUUGAGGCUUGGAGAACAUUGCCAUAUGAUCUGCAUCUUUGAUCUUCAUUACUUCUUUUACUGGAAAGUUCUUGAUCAUCCAGCGCUGGUAAUCCUCGGUUAUCGCGCGGUCCUCUCCACAGAUGAUAUAUAUACGUGUAACGGAUCCAUACCCUUCCUCACUGAAGCUUCUUGUCCCUGCCAGAUUGUUUGUAACGAUCGGGUUUACCCUCACCAACAUUUUUGCCAAUUCAAGAUCCUAAUCCGCCACAACAAUCAUCAAUUAAAAAGUUGACUGAGGUUACAAGCAAAUCUCAUUUGGGUUUUAAGUAGGAGUCUUACUUGGACCGGAGAGAGUUGAUACAAAUCCCUGGCCAUGGAUUUUGGUCCGAAAAGAACAAACUCUAGAGGGCGAUCAG
Molecule: long non-coding RNA, 2409 nt
Filed under: Capsella grandiflora
Lineage: Eukaryota; Viridiplantae; Streptophyta; Magnoliopsida; Brassicales; Brassicaceae
Description: long non-coding RNA (CGRA_LNC000492)
Source: RNAcentral